This 435-nucleotide ribosomal RNA is filed under the name uncultured Lachnospiraceae bacterium. RNAcentral describes it as "partial 16S ribosomal RNA". It matches the Rfam family "Bacterial small subunit ribosomal RNA", at positions 341 to 792 of the family's 1533-position model. The record is from RNAcentral. Lineage: Bacteria; Bacillati; Bacillota; Clostridia; Lachnospirales; Lachnospiraceae.
ACGGGAGGCAGCAGUGGGGAAUAUUGGACAAUGGGGGGAAACCCUGAUCCAGCGACGCCGCGUGAGUGAAGAAGUAUUUCGGUAUGUAAAGCUCUAUCAGCAAGGAAGAAAAUGACGGUACUUGACUAAGAAGCUCCGGCUAAAUACGUGCCAGCAGCCGCGGUAAUACGUAUGGAGCAAGCGUUAUCCGGAUUUACUGGGUGUAAAGGGAGCGUAGACGGUGUGGCAAGUCUGAAGUGAAAGCCCGGGGCUCAACCCCGGGACUGCUUUGGAAACUGUCGCACUAGAGUGCAGGAGAGGUAAGUGGAAUUCCUAGUGUAGCGGUGAAAUGCGUAGAUAUUAGGAGGAACAUCAGUGGCGAAGGCGGCUUACUGGGCUUUAACUGACGCUGAGGCUCGAAAGCGUGGGGAGCAAACAGGAUUAGAUACCCUGGUA